This 489-nucleotide ribosomal RNA is filed under the name uncultured bacterium. RNAcentral's name for it is "bacterial SSU rRNA". It matches the Rfam family "Bacterial small subunit ribosomal RNA", at positions 501 to 989 of the family's 1533-position model. The record is from RNAcentral.
CUACGUGCCAGCAGCCGCGGUAAUACGUAGGUCCCGAGCGUUGUCCGGAUUUAUUGGGCGUAAAGCGCACGCAGGCGGUCUGUCAAGUCGGAUGUGAAAUCCCCGGGCUCAACCUGGGAACUGCAUUCGAAACUGGCAGGCUAGAGUCUUGUAGAGGGGGGUAGAAUUCCAGGUGUAGCGGUGAAAUGCGUAGAGAUCUGGAGGAAUACCGGUGGCGAAGGCGGCCCCCUGGACAAAGACUGACGCUCAGGUGCGAAAGCGUGGGGAGCAAACAGGAUUAGAUACCCUGGUAGUCCACGCCGUAAACGAUGUCGAUUUGGAGGUUGUGCCCUUGAGGCGUGGCUUCCGGAGCUAACGCGUUAAAUCGACCGCCUGGGGAGUACGGCCGCAAGGUUAAAACUCAAAUGAAUUGACGGGGGCCCGCACAAGCGGUGGAGCAUGUGGUUUAAUUCGAUGCAACGCGAAGAACCUUACCUGGUCUUGACAUCC